Molecule: ribosomal RNA, 301 nt
Filed under: uncultured bacterium
Lineage: Bacteria
Description: partial 16S ribosomal RNA
Rfam family: Bacterial small subunit ribosomal RNA
Source: RNAcentral
CAGCCGCCGCGGGAAUACGUAGGUCCCGAGCGUUGUCCGGAUUUAUUGGGCGUAAAGCGAGCGCAGGCGGUUUGAUAAGUCUGAAGUUAAAGGCUGUGGCUUAACCAUAGUACGCUUUGGAAACUGUUUAACUUGAGUGCAAGAGGGGAGAGUGGAAUUCCAUGUGUAGCGGUGAAAUGCGUAGAUAUAUGGAGGAACACCGGUGGCGAAAGCGGCUCUCUGGCUUGUAACUGACGCUGAGGCUCGAAAGCGUGGAGAGCAAACAGGAUUAGAUACCCCGGUAGUCCCUGUCUCUUAUACA